This 612-nucleotide ribosomal RNA is filed under the name uncultured bacterium. RNAcentral describes it as "bacterial SSU rRNA". The stretch from base 1 to 542 matches the Rfam family "Bacterial small subunit ribosomal RNA", at positions 338 to 873 of the family's 1533-position model. The record is from RNAcentral.
CCUACGGGAGGCAGCAGUGGGGAAUUUUGGACAAUGGACGCAAGUCUGAUCCAGCCAUGCCGCGUGCGGGAAGAAGGCCUUCGGGUUGUAAACCGCUUUUGUCAGGGAAGAAACGGGUUUCUCUAAUACAGAGACCUAAUGACGGUACCUGAAGAAUAAGCACCGGCUAACUACGUGCCAGCAGCCGCGGUAAUACGUAGGGUGCAAGCGUUAAUCGGAAUUACUGGGCGUAAAGCGUGCGCAGGCGGUUAUGCAAGACAGAUGUGAAAUCCCCGGGCUCAACCUGGGAACUGCAUUUGUGACUGCAUGGCUAGAGUACGGUAGAGGGGGGAUGGAAUUCCGCGUGUAGCAGUGAAAUGCGUAGAUAUGCGGAGGAACACCGAUGGCGAAGGCAAUCCCCUGGACCUGUACUGACGCUCAUGCACGAAAGCGUGGGGAGCAAACAGGAUUAGAUACCCUGGUAGUCCACGCCCUAAACGAUGUCAACUGGUUGUUGGGAGGGUUUCUCUCAGUAACGAAGCUAACGCGUGAAGUUGACCGCCUGGGGNGCGGCGCGAGUUAGAGUANANAGAGUUGNGNGNGAGAGNGCGAGGACGACGACGAGGGAGGAGG